UACGUAGGUGGCGAGCGUUGUCCGGAUUUACUGGGCGUAAAGAGCGCGCAGGCGGUCGUACAAGUCGCGUGUGAAAGCCCCCGGCUCAACUGGGGAGGGUCACGCGAUACUGUUCGACUCGAAGGCAGGAGAGGGAAGUGGAAUUCCCGGUGUAGUGGUGGAAUGCGUAGAUAUCGGGAGGAACACCAGUGGCGAAGGCGGCUUCCUGGACCGGUUCUGACACUGAGGAGCGAAAGCGUGGGGAGCGAUCCGG
This 253-nucleotide ribosomal RNA is filed under the name uncultured bacterium. RNAcentral's name for it is "partial 16S ribosomal RNA". It matches the Rfam family "Bacterial small subunit ribosomal RNA", at positions 524 to 776 of the family's 1533-position model. The record is from RNAcentral.